Molecule: long non-coding RNA, 1081 nt
Organism: Dromaius novaehollandiae (emu)
Lineage: Eukaryota; Metazoa; Chordata; Aves; Casuariiformes; Dromaiidae
Exons: 5
Source: RefSeq, a predicted model, not a curated record
CCCUCGCUGCCCUCAGCGGGCGCGGCCCGCCGCGCUUCUAACGUCGCCUGGUGGCGGGGAGGACCCGGCGCCGACGGCGCCGCCGCUACCCAGGCGCCCACGCGGCGGCCGGCACCGGCGCCCCUCGCCGCGGCUGCCGUUACGGGCCUUCCGCCCCGCCCCUCGGCCCGCAGCACCAGGAGGCUGCAGCGAGGCGCUGGGGCACCUGCGGCUGGACUGACCAAGCCUUUCGGUGUCUGAGCCCAGCAGUGAGGGCCAGCACUUCCCGCACACGGGUGUGUCGCAGCCGGCAUCUCUGAGCAGGCAAUGCCGUGGCGGUGCAACAAGGAGUCAGAAAUGCUCAGCCAUGAGCCUCCGUGAGGAGCAUGAACAUCCACCCCCAGGUGAGGAGCGUCAGACCAUGCAGGAGCUGCAGGAACUCUCAGGGACAGAGGAGCCCAAGCAGGGCUGUCUGGGAUGGCCAGUGCAAACGCCCCUGCAUCGCCCCAGCACUGGCUCUCGGACGCUGCUGCCUGCGCGCAGAGCCUGGGACAGCGUGUCCGGCAGCAGGGGCUGCAUCCCGGCCCCCCUCACCCCCGCGGGGACCUCGGAGGCGCUUCCUGGGGCUGCUGACACCACGCAAUGGCCUCGCGCCUCCUUUCUGCACUCCGCAGUGAAGCCGGGAGCACCGCGGCGCAGAGAGGCAGUGUGAGGUUUGUUUCCUCCGGGACAGAAGCCACCCGGCUCCCUGCUCGCAGCAGGACGAUGCCUCCGCUCGCCGCCCUGCGCGGGGCCCUGCUCCUGGCUGGGGACGACCUGCCUGCGCCCGCCUGGCUCUGGGCCUCCUUGGGAACCUGCUGGGAGCACAGCAGGGGCUCCUCACAGCUCAGCUCUGGCUCCUUAGGGCUUGGCCUCAUUACAGCAAUGGUGGUGACUGACAAGGUCGUAAAUCAAUCACUGUCACAGCUUGCAUAUUAAUAUCAUAAUUUAAUAUUUCAUACAUAUUGCACAGUUAGUUUAUUAACAGUGUACAUACGCCAUACACACAUUGAAUAAAGAGUCCAAGUAUUGUACAAAUGGGGAAUAAACAGGGGAACUGGAA